AUGCUAUUUGCCUACCAACCUUUAUUUAUGUGCCAUUCAUAUCAUCGUUUUGCCCGCCCUACCUUUUGCUUUUCCUCUAGUUUGGAGCCUUUUUACCCGUUUAUUUUUUCGUAGCGCUUUUUCGUGAUACCUGAAUGAUCAUUAGUGAUAUCUCGAAGAACUGUGUCCUCUUUUCUCACCGUCUACUGACUGAAUCGUGCUCAUUUGAGUGUUUUUGACAACAGCAAACAAUGAUAGUUUCCUGACCGGGACUCAGUCAUGUCAACACGAGAAUUGUCAUUUUUUUACAAUUCACUCGUUUUAAUCGCCGUAUUUUCAUUCGACCGUACCUCGAGUUUUGAAUUUUUAAAUGUGUCCUCUUCGGUAGCUGUGACCCUCUGUGAAAAUGUAACUUUAGAAUGUAGAGGAAAGCCCCCUACGGCUAACAUCUGGUGGAUUGCAAAUGGUGAUAACGUUACGGCUGAUGGGAGAAUAUCACAAUCUUUGAAUAAGAGUGAAGAUGAGACAUUUACUUCUGCUACUCUAUUCAUAAAGUGUGCAAGCUUUGAAGAUGCCGGAAAUUAUAGUUGUAAUGCAGUUGAUGUUGAUAGUGAAGAAGAAUCCUCUCGAACAUUAGUUUUGGAUGUUGGCAUAAAAAAUGAAGUCAAAGCUUCCAAAGGUCCUCGUGUCAAAGCUGGAGACAAUGCUACCUUAUCUUGUACCUUCACUGGCUCAAACUUGCGUGACUUCAAGUGGUCAAAAAUUAACGACACAUCUGUAGUUGACCAUCCUGAGUAA
Molecule: long non-coding RNA, 777 nt
Filed under: Bemisia tabaci
Lineage: Eukaryota; Metazoa; Arthropoda; Insecta; Hemiptera; Aleyrodidae
Description: lncRNA ENSSWEETPG003173
Source: RNAcentral